Molecule: ribosomal RNA, 506 nt
Filed under: uncultured bacterium
Lineage: Bacteria
Description: partial 16S ribosomal RNA
Rfam family: Bacterial small subunit ribosomal RNA
Source: RNAcentral
AGUGAACGCUGGCGGUAGGCCUAACACAUGCAAGUCGAACGGCAGCACAGAGGAGCUUGCUCCUUGGGUGGCGAGUGGCGGACGGGUGAGGAAUACAUCGGAAUCUACUCUGUCGUGGGGGAUAACGUAGGGAAACUUACGCUAAUACCGCAUACGACCUACGGGUGAAAGCAGGGGACCUUCGUGCCUUGCGCGAUUGAACGAGCCGAUGUCGGAUUAGCUAGUUGGCGGGGUAAAGGCCCACCAAGGCGACGAUCCGUAGCUGGUCUGAGAGGAUGAUCAGCCACCCUGGACCUGGGACACGGUCCAGACUCCUACGGGAGGCAGCAGUGGGGAAUAUUGGACAAUGGGCGCAAGCCUGAUCCAGCCAUACCGCGUGGGUGAAGAAGGCCUUCGGGUUGUAAAGCCCUUUUGUUGGGAAAGAAAUCCAGCUGGCUAAUACCCGGUUGGGAUGACGGUACCCAAAGAAUAAGCACCGGCUAACUUCGUGCCAGCCGCCGCAGUAA